GGCCCGCUGCUUGCAAUCACCUGACACGCAGUCAACGCUGAUUGCGCAUAUACGACAAAGGCGCCGU
This is a non-coding RNA of Pseudomonas sp. VI4.1, 67 nucleotides long. The record is from Rfam. NCBI's taxonomy places the organism in Bacteria, Pseudomonadati, Pseudomonadota, Gammaproteobacteria, Pseudomonadales, Pseudomonadaceae.